CUUGUUUUCAGAACUCCCCCUUUCCCCGCACCCCUCUGGCCACCCACGUGGUCCAAACAGUCCUGUCACAGAGAGGUGAAGAAGUCCUCUUAUGUCCUGCGCCUCCUUUGGACAGAACUGGUGCAGACCACAUUCAUCAAGCAGAAAAACCUCGGCUAGGAGAUCCUCGAAACACACAGAGAAAGCCACGACUAAAGCAAAGUGACAUGCAGCCUUCCUGAAGCAAAAGGCUCGCUGGCCUGGAAGGAAUCGCAGACACCGAGGCCCCAAUCUGUUAGAUUCGGUUUCAUCUCGGAUCCUUCCGGGGCCUGGUGGCGCACACCCGUGAUCCCAGCACUCUUCGAAGCUGAGGGAGGAGGAUCUCAGGUUUGAGCCACAAGCCGGGCAAUUUAGUGACUUAGCAAGAUGCUGUCUCAAAAUGAAAAAGGGCUGGAGGCGUAGCUCAGUGCGAAGGCCCUGAGUUCAAGCCACAUUACCCUCCCCCUAAAAAAAUUCUUCCAGGGUUUUAUAUUCAGCUUACAAAUCUUAUUUUUUUUCUACCUAUAAGUAGAGCAAAUUGCAGCUAUCUCUUUUUAGUCCCUUUCAAAGAAACAUUAGCCAAUACUUGGUUACAUUUGUAACCUUAGGAAAUUAAGUCUUCAAAUAGUUUAAAGUGUGUGUGUGUGUGUGUGUGUGUGUGUGUGUGUGUCUGUGGUGUGUGUGGUGCUGGGAAUCUAACCCAGGGCCUCAGGCUCACCACACAAGGAAGUGCUGUACCACUGAGCUACACCCCCAAACUUCACUUUUGUUUUAAGGGCAUCAAUUAUCUGAUCAACAAAGCAUUUAACCUAAUAAAUUAUGCCUCUAAAUACAAUGGACAUGAAUAUCCACUUGGCUGUAUCUCGAUAGUAUGGCCAUGAUACAUUUUAAAUUAGAAAAACAUGAAUCUCAUUUUAAUAGAUCAAGUUUUGUUAAAUAUUACCAGUAUGCAGGAAUACCAAACAUGGCCUGCUCAACACAAAAAUAUUAAUGUGAUGGCUUUAAUUAUUUUAAACCUUUGUGUAUGUCAUCUAAGAUGUCCCACAGACUAAAGGUAUUUACCCAGGGAAGGGGCUGACCAGAAGCCUUGCUUACUGUAAUCAUCUGGUCCAGAACUGUUUGGUUGGGCAGAAGUUCUGAAGAGGAGGGCUUCCUGGGUGCUGCCUCUUACAACAACUGAGCAAAGUAUUAUAUCAUCCAAGGAAGCCUGGGAUCGUCCACUCAGCGUCCCCGAGUCACGGGCUGCCAGAGGUCUGGGUGGUUUGGCGGUGGCAAGCUGAAUGGACUCCUAGUGGCCACGUAACUUGGACAGGGAUGGAGUCACAUCUCCAGGCUUGAGCUGACAGUGGUCUGAAUCGCACUGCCACUUGAUUUCCCGAUCGGACCCCUUCUUUGGCCCCUAGGACCUGUAAAUGUCUCUACCACUGUAAGUCACAGGUUUUGCAUCCAACAGAAUCCAAAGAUACAUGCUCAUAUCUAAGCUACUUGAGCCUUUGUGGAAUCCUACCUUCUUUGGCUACUGAAGGUUGGGCACCUCUCGUGACUUUAACUUAUAGUCCCAAGGUAUCGAGUCAGUCUACACACACCCCUCUCUGAGCCCCUAUCCUCAGUGUCAUGGAGUUGCUGAGAACUGUGAGAAAAUGUGCAUGAAAUCACUCGUGAACCACGAAGGACUACACAAACAUUAGUGCCUUGCAUGGAGGGAAGCGUGGAAGAGGUAUUUAGUGAUAGAGAUAGAUAGGUAGGUAGAUAAAUGAUCGAUAGAUAAUAGACAGGAGAGAGAAGAAAGAGAGGAUGUUGGUUUUCGUGAACCCAGAGAAUGUGGCAAUGAAGGAUCACUUCUGGCAAGGCACUGAAGCAAAUCGCACCGCCGACUGGACUGCGAUCCACCCUGACCAAUGGGCAGGACCCUUGCAGGCCCCAUGGAGAGCUGUGCAGAAGCCACUCAGCAUGCAGCUGCCCGGGCUUGGCGGGGCAGGCAGGAGCCUUCCGCCCUCCCGGCCCCUUGCACGCUCCUCCUGCCUGCCCUCCCGCACAGUUCUGCCCACCUGUCCUUACUGCUUAGCCUUGGCUCUGCCUUUAGAAAACCCUAAUGGGUGCGGAGGGGAGCCAAGUGCUGGCUUCUGACGGGGUGACACCCUUGUCCAAACUGUGGCCCCGAACCUGUCCCACAUGAGGUGUCCGUGAUCUCAGAGGCAAGGACCUUUUCGGGAGAUCAACCUGGAGCCUCCACCCACAAGUUAGGAGGCCCGGAGCACUCAGCCUCCAGCGCUGCUGGUUCCAGGACCCAGCUCCCCUCCAUUGCUUCAGCCUCGAAGCAAAUUACAAUAUGAAUAUACACCAGAAGAGUUUUUAAAACGAAGAUAACACACAAAGAAAAAAGCCUCACUUGGAAAGCUUUUGGGUUCUAUCACCAGAACCCACGGCCAAAUGACCUCCCUGGAUCACAAGGUCCCCGGCUCUAAGGGCGAGACUGUAUGUCACGCAGCCAGUCACUCCACAGCAAGUCUGCAUCCAUCUCCACUGCAGGCUAUGCUCCUCCAGUCCUGCAGUGUGGCGUCCACGCCCGGCACAGAGGUCAUGGCCAGGGCUUCAUGGGGCCCGGGAGGAAGACUGCAGGCUCGCCUUUAGGGUGACCUGUCCGGGGGCUGCUGUCAUGCUGGGGACGCUGAGUUACUCACCAGGAAGUCACCUCUGCGGGACUCAGACUGCUCAGGGAGGGCCUGGGCCUGGCCUCCGAUGGCAGCUGCCCCGAGCACACUUCCGGGAAGCCACUCCUGGGACAUCCUUACUUCCUGCUCUCUGCCCAGAGUCUGGAAGGAAGAUGAGGCCUCCUCGGUGGCAGCAUCCAGCUGUGCCUCCCUCUUUCCUGGCCUUCAGCCUGCCUCACCCCUUCCACAGACUCUUCCCUCCUCCGGCCUGGGGUCUUGGUUCCCAGAGCGGGAAGGACCCGGCCCUGCCCACCAGCCUCCUGGCUCCACACCCAUCGCUGGGUCUUCCGCAGAUUGUCUUCAUCCCCUGGCACAAUUGGAGUUCCAGAGAGAGCAAACCGUCUGGGGAGCACUGCGUGGAGCCCCGGACUUCAGGCCCCGGCAAAGGGGAGUGCUCAAUGACCUGAGUCUAUCCUUGUUCGUGGCAGAGUAGUGCUCCACUGCAUCUAAGCACUACAUCCUCUUUAUGCAUUCAUCUGUCGGUGGACACCUAUACGGCAGGAAGAGAGAUCUUUCGCAAAUGAGGAGAGAACCAAGAGAUGAAGAAGAGGGGAGGGGAGAGAGGAGGGGCGGAAGGUGUGUGAUGCACACGGGCCAGCACCCCACAGUGAACGCAACCACGCACUCAAACAUGGACUGAAAAAAUAAAAGUUUGAAAUGAGCCACAAAGACUCCCGACCCGACCCGCGGGCCGUGUGACCGUCAGUGCGUGUUGCAAUUGGCCCUGAGUCUGGGGCCGACGUGCAGCUGUCCCUCACAGAUGUACUCCCCCCCCCCACAUCACUCCAUCCUGCCUGCCAGGGACCAGCCUCUGGGUGACACAGCCGGCAUCAGGGAGGAGGUGUCAGCGGCGGCCGGAAGAAAGCUGAGAUCCUACUUCCCUCCAAAUGGGAGUGGGUGUUGCUAUCCAGGAGGUCUUUAGCUGCUCCCGAAGUAUCGCAGGUGAUGAUGGGCCAGAAGAGAACAUUUUUUAACCCUCAGGGUAGGUCUGACAUAAGGCAGGGGGCAGACUACACGGUCCUCGUGUUAAAGUUUUUAGUUUGCUUGGAAAUAACCACCCAGCACGAUCUCCUGAGCACUCACUCCAAGCAGAGUGUUGGUCCAGCCCGGGGCUUGGUCAUCCCUGAGCCAGGGCCGGUGCUUCAGGGGACAGCCACCAGCACCCUCCACAGAGAAGCUGAGACUCGGAGUCCCACGGCCGGCCAGCAGGGGGCAGGAGUCCACAGCAGGCGCCCCAGCUCCAGAUCCAGGUGCUUAAACACUGUGCCGUUCAUUUUGGUGAGCGAGGAGGAGGAGGAAAUGUUCCCCAUACUCCCAACACCUGGGAGCGACCACAAAUAAUUCUGAUGUUUUUCGUAACAACACAGAGCUCACACUACACACACAAAUGUGUGUCCUGCGCCUGUGUUUCUCAGUCGACACGCUAUGGGUGUCUUCUGCAAGCGCCGGAAGCAGGCAGGCCACCCUCAGGAUGUGCUUCGAGUCCCAGGUCCUCCCCUGCAGCAGACAACUGCAGGCGCUGUGCAGAGCGAUCCUGAGUCCAGCUGCCCAUCGGGGUGGGUACACAGGGCUCUUCCCGUGUUUGGGAUUUUUGAGUUGCAGUGGAUCCCACCUGGCGUUGUGGCCAGAACAGAGGGUGCAGAGCCCCCAGGAGGCUCGGAAGCCGGAGGGAGGGGACCCGCUGUCUGGAGCCAGGUGCCCCUCAGCGACAUCCCUCCUGAUCAGGCGCUUCACAAAGACAAGAGGACUACUUGCUUUCAGAAGGCUGGGAUUCUGUUGUCUUCAGUAGCGGAGCCUUCUUCCGGAAGCUGUAAAAUUUCAAACCUAAUGCCUGGUAAACUCCUCUAGUGCUUGCGUUUCUUAAACUGCCUCAAGGCUGUAGCCGCAGCCCUUUGCGUUUUUUAUUGUUUCUUUCGGAGCUGUGCGUUUGUGAGUCCUUGUGUGCAGUGUGUCAGGAUCACGCUCAUCCCAGGGAGUCGGUCCAUGCGUGGAACCCACCCUAAUCCCCUCUGCGUCCGCCCCCUCUCUCUGUCUCUCACUCCCCAUCCCUUUCCCAGAAGACCUGUCUCUCUGCGUCCCACUCUCUGGCUUGCAUUUUGCUCUGCUAAGCCGACCUCUCCUGGCCACCUGCCUCUUGGUUCUCACUGGGCUCCACCAUGCCCCCCAUUUCUCUAGAUCCUCAAAGGAACAAAAAAGUCCUUAAUCCCAUAAACACAAAACUAUACUUUUUUAGGAAAAAUAAUUGAAACGAAUUUUUUUCCACUGUGAUGGCUAAAUGACCCAGGAAGAGCAGGUGGCUUUCCGUCUUCU
This 5039-nucleotide long non-coding RNA is filed under the name Heterocephalus glaber (naked mole-rat). RNAcentral describes it as "lncRNA (ENSHGLG00000043597.1)". The record is from RNAcentral. Lineage: Eukaryota; Metazoa; Chordata; Mammalia; Rodentia; Bathyergidae.